GCGCGCGCCCGUCCCGCCUGCCUUCUGCUCACCGCUACUCUGUCUGCGCCUGCGUGCUUUGGCUCCCUGGAUCUGUUAUAUUAAUGAGCAAUAUUUAAUUAAAAGCUAAUUGAAUAUUCCAAGCAGCAAUUAUCUUGCAAUAGAGAUGCCAAAUCUGACAUGAGGAGGCAGGUGAGCAGAAAGCAGAACUUGUGUAAUUAUUCCUCUGGGAGAUGGAGAAGAAGAGACCACACCAAGCAUUGCCACAGUAAGAGAUUAGUGAAGAUUCUGCCCUAAACAAAACCAUUUCCUUUGUUGAACUUAUAUUGUACUUUCUUCAUCAGCAUGACGGGACACUAUGAGUGAAAGAAGAAAAACUUUGCAAGGCUCUGACAUUAAGAAGGAGGGUGAUGAAAAUUUUGAGUGGCUUGCACAUGUUGUAUAGGAACCAUGGCUUCACAGCCCUGGGCAGAUGCUUGAAGCAAAGGCGCAGAACAAAGGAUGAACAAGACACAUAGGGUGAACAUUCAGCUGCUCGCUAGGACUGUAGCUGGAGUGUUUAGUAGAUGAGGGGAAUAGUUUG
This 562-nucleotide long non-coding RNA is filed under the name Homo sapiens (human). Its description in RNAcentral is "HSALNT0303713". Lineage: Eukaryota; Metazoa; Chordata; Mammalia; Primates; Hominidae. The record is from RNAcentral.